UAGAGUUUGAUCCUGGCUCAGGAUGAACGCUAGCGGCAGGCCUAACACAUGCAAGUCGAGGGGUAACAGGGAGUGCUUGCACUCCGCUGACGACCGGCGCACGGGUGCGUAACGCGUAUACAAUCUACCUUUUGCUGAGGGAUAGCCCAGAGAAAUUUGGAUUAACACCUCAUAGUAUGCAAGGCUUCUCAUGGAGGCUGCAUUAAAGGUUACGGCAGAAGAUGAGUAUGCGUCCUAUUAGCUUGUUGGUAAGGUAACGGCUUACCAAGGCGACGAUAGGUAGGGGCCCUGAGAGGGGGAUCCCCCACACUGGUACUGAGACACGGACCAGACUCCUACGGGAGGCAGCAGUGAGGAAUAUUGGACAAUGGAGGCAACUCUGAUCCAGCCUGCCGCGUGCAGGAAGACUGCCCUAUGGGUUGUAAACUGCUUUUAUACGGGAAGAAACCCUCCCACGUGUGGGGGGCUGACGGUACCGUAAGAAUAAGCAUCGGCUAACUCCGUGCCAGCAGCCGCGGUAAUACGGAGGAUGCAAGCGUUAUCGGGAAUCAUUGGGUUUAGAGGGUCCGUAGGCGGAAAUCUAAGUCAGUGGUGAAAUCUUGCAGCUCAACUGUAAAAUUGCCAUUGAUACUGGAUUUCUUGAAUUAGUGUGAAGUGAUUAGAAUGUGUAGUGUAGCGGUGAAAUGCAUAGAUAUUACACAGAAUACCAAUUGCGAAGGCAGGUCACUAACACUAUAUUGACGCUGAGGGACGAAAGCGUGGGGAGCGAACAGGAUUAGAUACCCUGGUAGUCCACGCCGUAAACGAUGGAUACUAGCUGUUCGGACUUCGGUCUGAGUGGCUAAGCGAAAGUGAUAAGUAUCCCACCUGGGGAGUACGUUCGCAAGAAUGAAACUCAAAGGAAUUGACGGGGGCCCGCACAAGCGGUGGAGCAUGUGGUUUAAUUCGAUGAUACGCGAGGAACCUUACCAGGGCUUAAAUGUAAUAUGACAGGGGUGGAAACACGCCCUUCUUCGGACUCAUUACAAGGUGCUGCAUGGUUGUCGUCAGCUCGUGCCGUGAGGUGUCAGGUUAAGUCCUAUAACGAGCGCAACCCCUGUUGUUAGUUGCCAGCGAGUCAUGUCGGGAACUCUAACAAGACUGCCGGUGCAAACCGUGAGGAAGGUGGGGAUGACGUCAAAUCAUCACGGCCCUUACGUCCUGGGCUACACACGUGCUACAAUGGCCGAUACAGAGAGCAGCCACACCGCGAGGUGGAGCGAAUCUACAAAACCGGUCUCAGUUCGGAUCGGGGUCUGCAACUCGACCCCGUGAAGCUGGAAUCGCUAGUAAUCGGAUAUCAGCCAUGAUCCGGUGAAUACGUUCCCGGGCCUUGUACACACCGCCCGUC
This 1390-nucleotide ribosomal RNA is filed under the name uncultured prokaryote. RNAcentral's name for it is "partial 16S ribosomal RNA". It matches the Rfam family "Bacterial small subunit ribosomal RNA". The record is from RNAcentral.